Molecule: non-coding RNA, 67 nt
Filed under: Listeria seeligeri serovar 1/2b str. SLCC3954
Lineage: Bacteria; Bacillati; Bacillota; Bacilli; Caryophanales; Listeriaceae
Description: pemK RNA
Rfam family: pemK RNA
Source: RNAcentral
AUAAUGAUACUCACACUUUUAACUAAGUGUCCUGUCGAAUUGGCGAGGGGAGGUGAGAUUCCUGUGU